AUUUUAAUAGCUUAUUUAGAGUUUAAUAUUGAAAAUAUUAAGGAGAUUUAUAAUGAUCUUAAAAUA
This 66-nucleotide transfer RNA is filed under the name Brasilocerus sp. 2 DTA-2012. Its description in RNAcentral is "tRNA-Phe". Lineage: Eukaryota; Metazoa; Arthropoda; Insecta; Coleoptera; Phengodidae. The record is from RNAcentral.